GAUGAACGCUGGCGGCGUGCCUAAUACAUGCAAGUCGAGCGAACCACUUCGGUGGUGAGCGGCGAACGGGUGAGUAACACGUAGGUGAUCUGCCCAUCAGACGGGGACAACGAUUGGAAACGAUCGCUAAUACCGGAUAGGACGAAAGUUUAAAGGUGCUUCUGGCACCGCUGAUGGAUGAGCCUGCGGCGCAUUAGCUAGUUGGUAGGGUAAAGGCCUACCAAGGCGACGAUGCGUAGCCGACCUGAGAGGGUGAACGGACACAUUGGGACUGAGAUACGGCCCAGACUCCUACGGGAGGCAGCAGCUAAGAAUAUUCCGCAAUGGAGGAAACUCUGACGGAGCGACGCCGCGUGGAUGAUGAAGGCCGGAAGGUUGUAAAUCCUUUAAGUCAAGAAGAAUAAACUUUAACAGGAAUGGUAGAGUGGUGACGGUAUUGCUUGAAUAAGCAACGGCUAAUUACGUAG
This 467-nucleotide ribosomal RNA is filed under the name uncultured bacterium. Its description in RNAcentral is "bacterial SSU rRNA". It matches the Rfam family "Bacterial small subunit ribosomal RNA", at positions 28 to 508 of the family's 1533-position model. The record is from RNAcentral.